This is an RNA transcript of Triticum aestivum (bread wheat), 4054 nucleotides long. It is a transcript of the gene named putative protein FAR1-RELATED SEQUENCE 10, with no coding region annotated. Lineage: Eukaryota; Viridiplantae; Streptophyta; Magnoliopsida; Poales; Poaceae. The record is from RefSeq and is a predicted model, not a curated record. The transcript has 8 exons.
GGACGCCGUGGACAGGUUCCCCUUGCUUGAGGAAUUCGCCGACGGCGUUGAGCAUCCAGAUCCAGUUCCUCUGGGGCGGAUGCAAGCGAACGAGCCCAGUUACGCGGGUAGCCCUGUAUCAAAAGAUGAUUCUGGGUGCGGCCAGCAGAUUGGCGAAGUUGAGGUGAACGGAAGGCAACCUGCUGCUCGCCGCCGUACGAACACAUCUCCAACUCGGUCUGGACAGUCAACUGACAGGGUGAAUCCAGAAGCACCCGGGUGGACUAAAAGGUACGAUUGCAGAGGCCCUCCUUUGUUAUUGCAAGAAUGCAUUUGCUGUGCUGAGUUCAGGGGAAUGGUUUGCCAAUAUCUACUUGUGAUAUUGAACUUCAGAAAAAUGUACGUUGGUUUCAGCAGAAGCUAAACCUGCGAAUUUGAGAAAAAUGUUUUGGCAAAAACAACUUGUGAGUUGAAACUGAAGAAAAAUAGAUAGUUCAAGGGUAGUGGGAGUUUAAAUUUGCGUUCGUGCUAAAGGAUGUGCUACUUAACUGUAAUCUGUUGAACUUUGACUGGUGGAAUAAGGUUACGGCUAGGGAGCGCGCCACCGGACAGGACACCAUGUCCCAGCCGUAUGAGCGCUCUGGAGGAGUCGAUGCGCAAGUACGCUAAAGAGCCCAGCAAAAAUGUGGUGCGGCCAACACUUGGUCUGACUUUUGAUUCGCUUGGUGAAGCAUACGACUUCUACAAUUUGUAUUCCUGGGAAACCGGUUUCGGCAUUAGAUAUGGAAAGAGUCGGCUGAACGUUGAGAGGAUAAAGUGCAUGCAAGAAAUAGUGUGCGGUUGCUCGGGGAAGCCAGAAGCAGAAAAUAGUAGAUCGUGCAGGUGUGAGUGUCCAGCUUUGAUAAGAUUGUUGCGAGCAGCGGACAACAGCUGGUACAUUACAGAACACAGAGAGAACCAUAAUCAUUCAAUGUCAUUGACAAUGGGUGAGAAAGUUCACCGGCCGUCGCACAAGCACAUUGAUGUGUACACUAAGGAUCUCAUAAAACAGCUACGGAAGAACAAUGUUAACCUUGGCAAGGUGUACAGCAUAAUAGGAUGUUUCUUCGGGUCGGUUGAGAAGGUUCCAUUCACUAAGAGGACUCUGAGGAACAUAUGCGGGAAGAUCAGUCAGGAGCAGGCCGAUGAUGAUGUUAGGAAGACACUUGAAGUGUUCGCUGACAUAUAGUCUGGUGACCCUGGUUUCACAUACAGAGUGGUGGCUGAUGAUACAAGCAAAGUGAAGAACCUGAUGUGGGCAAACGGGAGCAGCCGUAUGCAGUACCGUUUCUUUGGAGAUGUUGUCACUUUCGACACAACAUAUAGUACUAACUUGUACGACAUGCCUUUUGGAUUACUUGUUGGGGUAAACAAUCAUUUUCAGAGCAUCAUCCUCGCUGGGGUGCUGAUGUGCGACGAGCAGCAAGAGAGCUUCGAAUGGGUUUUCGCCGAGUUCCUUCGAAUGAUGGGAGGACCUGCCCCAAAGACUAUCUUGACAGAUCAGUGCAGAGCUAUGGAACUAGCUAUCAAGAAGGUGUAUCCAGAUACGAUGCAUAGGUGGUGCAAGUGGCACGUGCUGAAGAAAGCAAAGGAGAGUCUAGGACCUUUGUACACCAAAAAAAUGACUUCCAAGCUGAUUUUCACAAAGUCGUGAACCACAUGUUAACCGAAGAUGAGUUCGAGACGACAUGGGGUAUGUUGCUGGAUAAGUACAAUUUGCGAAAGCACGCAUAUAUGACACAGAUUUAUGAGAUUCGAACAAAGUGGGCAAAACCAUACUUUAGAGGUGUUUUCUGUGCCAAGAUGACCAACAAACAACGGAGCGAGAGUGCCAAUCACAUGUUGAAGACAUACAUGCCCCCAGCGAGCCCCAUGCAUGUGUUUGUCAGGCAGUAUAUGAGACUGCAAUUUGACAGGGAGCGUGAAGAGAGCUACGAGGAGAAAAGAACUAUGAUUGGAGGUGCAGUGAGAAGAACAAAUUUGGCUAUAGAGAGGCACGCCAGUAAAAUAUACACCCGAUCUAUGUUUGACGAGUUUGGGACAUUUCUGAUGGAAGCCACAACAUAUAACAUAACGGAGAUAGAGAAGAUGAAGAAGUAUGUGGCAACCCAUAAUAAUGCGGCAAAGAGAGAGAGAUGGAGCAGAGUUGUUUAUGAGGUUACUGUCGUGGAUGAUCAAAAGGAGUUUACUUGUGAGUGUGGUCAAUUCGAACACACUGGUUUGUUGUGCAACCACAUUCUAAGGGUAAUGGAAAUACUACACCUAGAACAGAUUCCAGCUAAACAUAUUGUGAAAAGGUGGACGAAGGACGCAAGAGACAUUCUACCAAGCCAUCUGCAGCAGUACCAAAAGGACAAGCGGACCAACACAUCAUUCACAUGGAGGCAUUCGACAUUGUACUUCAAAGCUAUGGACGUCGUUCGAAUGGGGGAUGCGAGUCACAAUCAUUUGAUUUCAUGCUAGCUGGGAUGGAAGAUCUACUAGUGCGUGGAGCACCUAUUGCAGAGAGGAGAGAUGGCCUCGGGUUUGAGGAUCGGGUGACGACCUUAGACCCUGUGAGGCAAACUGAUAAUGGAGAAGUUGCUUUCGUGCUUGGUUCAGGUGCCGAUAAAGAGAAUAGCAUGGCACAUUCUAUCAGCAUCAAUGACUUGGAAGGGCUAGCAGCACCCGCUAAGCAGAGGGGGGUUGGUAGGCCAACAAAUAGCAGGGAGAAGGCACCGUACGAAGGACUCAGUCGACGUACACGUUUCUGCAGCAUCUGCAGGAGGGGAGGACACAAGAGAACUACAUGUCCUGAUAGAGGGGACGCACUAAAAAAGCCGAGGAAACCUGGUCGAUGCAAGAACUGUGGAAUCGAAGGUCACCGUCAGAACACGUGCACCAGGCCAUUGGGGUUCACUGCAAACUAGUUUUCAACAUUCAUGUCUUAUGUUUUGCCGAUCGGAAAUUACUAGUUUGUUGUAGUACGAUCUGCUCUUUGCAUGCUUAUCUCCACUUAGAUGGUAUUCAUAGUUGCAUGAUGAAUAAGAUUAUGUAGUGUCAGCUAUGCAUCCAUGCUCUAUGGCAAUGUAGCAAGAUAAAAUGUGCUGGACUUGAGUGAGGACUUUCGUGUUUCGUAUUGACUGAACCUGAAAUGUUUAUUUGACUGUCAUACUGAAGAAAAUAUUGUUUCCUGGUUUUUAGUACGACGGCAUGUGAGUAUAUGUGAAGAACAUGCAGAGUGGAGAUGUUUGGUUUGAAUGACACCUAAUGUGAGGAGACACAGUUUUCUGAUUCAGUGACUCACAACUAUGAGAACUCAUAGUCGGCGACAUGUGGCAACCAUGCGUGUGGUGGCUCAGUUUACUUCCAUGCGUGUGGAGCGCGCGCACCAUGGAGUUCAAAUUUUGAACAAGCUAGUAAAUGCAUAAGUUGUGAGCCCUGGAUAGCAUACGACGCAGAAACCAGUAUAAAGGCCGAGGGUGAGGCAGCUGCCUGCCUGGUAACCACUUUCACAAAGUGUUCAUCUCGUAGAGCAGGGGCGUCGAAGGACUCUGGAGAUGGCACCAAGCGCUGCUGAGCCUGAAAGCAGUGGCACGACGAGGAGGUCUCAAUUGAGUGGUUCAGCCUUCGGUCUUGAGGAUCAGGCAAAGGCCUCUCCUUUGGUGGCAUCAGCGGAAAGCUGCUGGAGUACAACUGAUUUGGCUCCGCACGGUGUAGACGUGCCAGACGAGGGGCAAGUUGUUCAAGCAGAUCGUUGGGAGACUUGUUUGCUCGCUCAGGAAGUGGACAUGAAGGCGGAGGAAGGAGAUGUUCAGGAGGGGUUCGGCGAGCACGAUCCAUCCGUCCAGACGACAGGCGAUGGCACUGCGGACGAACAAGUUUCAGAAGAUGCCUCUGCUGUCAUGGACUCAUUGAGAAAGGGAAGCGACGAGGAAGAAGAAGUCAGCAGCAGGGUGGCGAAGCGCCCGCGUGUGGAAUCUUAGUUUGUGAUUUCCGUUCGCAGUUUGUAAUGAGAGUAUCUGUCGGCAGCUAGAAUUAUCUGUGUCUCCAAUCC